RNAcentral lists this long non-coding RNA (859 nucleotides) under Triticum aestivum (bread wheat). Its description in RNAcentral is "long non-coding RNA (TAES_LNC025226)". Lineage: Eukaryota; Viridiplantae; Streptophyta; Magnoliopsida; Poales; Poaceae. The record is from RNAcentral.
UGAUAUUCAAUAUUUACUUUAACUAUUACAUUGAGAUACUGAACCACUUGAUCCUCAAUGCUCGUGCCCGAUCCCAACCUGCUGUCCCUGAAGACCGCAUAUACAUUGCAGUCGCCCCUACCCGUGCGCCACUGCUGUAACCUGCACCCUGCAAAAAAAAUGCAAGUUCAAAUUCAGAUAAACAAGAAGUUAAAAAGGUAUUGCCUUCACUCAUGUUGUUUUGCCAACGAUCUUUAGUUUGUUCAGUAGCUCGUAAACAAUUGCCAAAAGCUCGUAACUUCAGAAUCAUAAGUUGAUAGUUUGCCUACAGGGACAACCAUGCUGAUGGUGAUUGAAGAACAAUUCUGAAUUAUUAUUAUUGAGCCUGAAGGCCACGUUUUAUGCACGAUGUGGCAGGAUUCUAGGGAUUGUUUUGAGGCGGUCGAUGGCUUUUGAGAGAUGUGUUCAUACUUACAAGUUUGAAGGGGUUCAAAGCUCAUUUAUACAAGGAGGAAUGGCAAUUUGGUUGCACAUCUGUUUGCGAAAAAGAGCACUAAAACUAGAUGUACUUUCUAUUUCUUUAUUUGUAACCCCCUACCUACCUGAUUGAGACUAUUCAAUUAGAGUUAGUUUUUCCUCAAUAAUGAAGUGGCAAGAAUUAGUUUUUAAAAGAAAGACCGGUGCAUCUACUUCGUUGGUGGUAAUUCCAUCAUUUUUGUUUUUCAAAACAAACACAAAAAUGAUGCUCAUAGAUAACAAAAAGUGAUGCUCAUAGAUAACAAAAAAACCUCUAUCUAGGCGUUUAACGUUCUUUUCUUAUUCAACGUGUUGGUAGUUUGUAUAAAAAGACGAAAAAUGAUGUUAAAAACAAACAAAUGAG